Molecule: ribosomal RNA, 433 nt
Filed under: uncultured bacterium
Lineage: Bacteria
Description: partial 16S ribosomal RNA
Rfam family: Bacterial small subunit ribosomal RNA
Source: RNAcentral
AGCGAACGCUGGCGGCAGGCUUAACACAUGCAAGUCGAGCGGGCACUUCGGUGUCAGCGGCAGACGGGUGAGUAACACGUGGGAACGUACCCUUCGGUUCGGAAUAACGCUGGGAAACUAGCGCUAAUACCGGAUACGCCCUUUUGGGGAAAGGUUUACUGCCGAAGGAUCGGCCCGCGUCUGAUUAGCUAGUUGGUGGGGUAAUGGCCUACCAAGGCGACGAUCAGUAGCUGGUCUGAGAGGAUGAUCAGCCACACUGGGACUGAGACACGGCCCAGACUCGUACGGGAGGCAGCAGUGGAGAAUAUUAGACGAGGGACGCAAGCGUGAUCCAGCCAUGCCGCGUGAGUGAUGAAGGCCUUAGGGUUGUAAAGCUCUUUUGUACGGGACGAUAAUGACGGUACCGGAAGAAUAAGCCCCGGCUAACUUCGUG